This 253-nucleotide ribosomal RNA is filed under the name uncultured bacterium. RNAcentral describes it as "partial 16S ribosomal RNA". It matches the Rfam family "Bacterial small subunit ribosomal RNA", at positions 524 to 776 of the family's 1533-position model. The record is from RNAcentral.
UACGAAGGGGGCUAGCGUUGCUCGGAAUCACUGGGCGUAAAGCGCACGUAGGCGGUUCGCUAAGUCAGGGGUGAAAUCCUGGAGCUCAACUCCAGAACUGCCUUUGAUACUGGCAAUCUCGAGUCCGGGAGAGGUGAGUGGAACUGCGAGUGUAGAGGUGAAAUUCGUAGAUAUUCGCAAGAACACCAGUGGCGAAGGCGGCUCACUGGCCCGGUACUGACGCUGAGGUGCGAAAGCGUGGGGAGCAAACAGG